This 661-nucleotide ribosomal RNA is filed under the name uncultured fungus. Its description in RNAcentral is "eukaryotic LSU rRNA". It matches the Rfam family "Eukaryotic large subunit ribosomal RNA", at positions 24 to 664 of the family's 3401-position model. The record is from RNAcentral. Lineage: Eukaryota; Fungi.
CCCGCUGAACUUAAGCAUAUCAAUAAGCGGAGGAAAAGAAACUAACAAGGAUUCCCCUAGUAACGGCGAGUGAAGCGGGAAGAGCUCAAAUUUGAAAUCUGGUCGCCUUUGGCGACCUGAGUUGUAGUUUAUAGAAGCGUCUUGUUCGCCAGAGUACGUACAAGUCCCUGGGAAUCGGGUGUCGUGGAUGGUGAGAAUCCCGUCUGUGACGUGAUCGCCCGGUAGUAUGUGAUGCGCUCUGGAAGAUUCGAGUUCUUGGGGAGUGCAGCUCAAGACUGGUGGUGAAUUCCAUCUAAAGUUAAAUAUGGUCGAGAGUCUGAUAGAGAACUAGUUCUGUGAGGGAGAGAUGAAGAGCACUAGGAGAAGAGAGUCAAACAGUACGUGCAAAUUGUAGAAAGAGAAACGCUUGAAGUCAGUCGCGUCUAAUCGGACUCAGCGUGGCUUGGGUCACGUUGUAUGUUCGGCCUGUCGUGCCAGCAUCGAUUUUGACCGUCGGAGAAGGGGUGUGGAAAUGUGGCACCGUGUCGGUGUGUCAUAGUCACGUAUCGUUCACGGUGGUGUGGGAUCGAGGAACUCAGCGCGCCUUUCAGCCGGGGCUGGCGCACGUAACGCGCUCAGGAUGCUGGCGUAAUGGCUUUAAACGACCCGUCUUGAAACACGG